This 200-nucleotide ribosomal RNA is filed under the name uncultured organism. Its description in RNAcentral is "partial small subunit ribosomal RNA". It matches the Rfam family "Bacterial small subunit ribosomal RNA", at positions 1184 to 1382 of the family's 1533-position model. The record is from RNAcentral.
GCCAAGUCAUCAUGCCCCUUAUGCCCUAGGCGACACAUGUGCUACAAUGGGCGGGACAAAGGGUCGCGAUCUCGCGAGGGUGAGCUAACUCCAAAAACCUAUCCUCAGUUCGGAUUGCAGGCUGCAACUCGCCUGCAUGAAGCAGGAAUCGCUAGUAAUCGCCAGUCAGCCAUACAGUGGUGAAUCCAUUCCCGGGCCUU